RNAcentral lists this ribosomal RNA (512 nucleotides) under uncultured bacterium. RNAcentral describes it as "bacterial SSU rRNA". It matches the Rfam family "Bacterial small subunit ribosomal RNA", at positions 1 to 489 of the family's 1533-position model. The record is from RNAcentral.
GCCCUUAGAGUUUGAUCCUGGCUCAGGACGAACGCUGGCGGCGUGCUUAACACAUGCAAGUUGAACGUUCCGCCCUUUUUGGCCUUCGGGCCAUAAAGGACCACGGAAAGUGGCGGACGGGUGAGUAACGCGUGGAGAACCUAUCCUCAAGUUGAGGAUAACCUGGCGAAAGUCGGGCUAAUCCUGAAUAAGCUGACAGAUGAGCAUUCAUCAGUCAAAAAAGGUGCUUUUUAGCAUCGCUUAAGGAGGGCUCCGCGUCGGAUUAGCUAGCUGGUAGGGUAAAAGCCUACCAGGGCAACAGUCCGUAGCUGGUCUGAGAGGAUUAUCCCCCACACUGGUACUGAGACACGGACCAGACUCCUACGGGAGGCAGCAGUAAGGAAUAUUGGGCAAUGGAGGCAACUCUGACCCAGCCAUGCCGCGUGCAGGAAGACUGCCCUAUGGGUUGUAAACUGCUUUUGUAUGGACUAACCGUGGUUACGUGUAACCGCCUGCAUGUACCAUACGAAUAA